RNAcentral lists this long non-coding RNA (4932 nucleotides) under Salmo salar (Atlantic salmon). Its description in RNAcentral is "lncRNA (ENSSSAG00000117713.1)". Lineage: Eukaryota; Metazoa; Chordata; Actinopteri; Salmoniformes; Salmonidae. The record is from RNAcentral.
GCCUGGUCCUAUAGACAUUCUUCAGUGGGCAUUCGAUACAGGAAACAACAAAAUUAAUUGUUUGAUUUUAUAAUAGUCAUUGUUAAAAUGCAUGAUACAAUUUGACCAUUUUAAACACAAUAUAACCACAAAUUUGAAAACGUAUUUCCAUUGUGGUCCUGAACAUACACAAAAACAAAAUAUACACAAGAUUAUAAACCGGGUAGUUUGUGUCCUGGAUAUUGACUUGCUGAAAGCCGGGGUAUAUUUAAGCAAUAAGGCCAGAGGGGGGUGGUAUAUGGCCAAUAUACUACAGCUAAGGGCUUUUCUUAAGCGCAAUGUGGCAUACCAUAGCUUCAAUGCCAUACAAAUCUCCUUCCGUGGCCUCCAACUGCUCUAAAUACAAGUAAAACUAAAUGCAUGCUCUUCAACCGAUCGCUGCCUGCACCUGCCCGCCCGUCCAGCAUCACUACUCUGGACGGUUCUGACUUAGAAUAUGUGGACAACUACAAAUACCUAGGUGUCUGGUUAGACUGUAAACUCUCCUUCCAUACUCACAUCAAACAUCUCCAAUCCAAAGUUAAAUCUAGAAUUGGCUUCCUAUUUUGCAACAAAGCAUCCUUCACUCAUGCUGCCAAACAUACCCUCGUAAAACUGACCAUCCUUUCAGAUCCUCGACUUCGGCGAUGUCAUUUACAAAAUAUCCUCCAAUACCCUACUCAAUAAAUUGGAAGCAGUCUAUCACAGUGCCAUCCGUUUUGUCACCAAAGCCCCAUAUACUACCCACCACUGCGACCUGAACGCUCUCGUUGGCUGGCCCUCGCUUCAUACUCGUCACCAAACCCACUGGCUCCAGGUCAUCUACAAGUCUCUGCUAGGUAAAGUCCCCCAUUAUCUCAGCUCGCUGGUCACCAUAGCAGCACCCACCUGUAGUACGCGCUCCAGCAGGUAUAUCUCACUGGUCACCCCCAAAGCCAAUUCCUCCUUCGGCCGCCUCUCCUUCCAGUUCUCUGCUGCCAAUGACCAGAACGAACUACAAAAAUCUCUGAAACUGGAAACACUUAUCUCCCUCACUAGCUUUAAGCAUCAGCUGUCAGAGCAGCUCACAGAUUACUGCACCUGUACAUAGCCCAUCUAUAAUUUAGCACAAACAACUACCUCUUCCCCUACUGUAUUUAUUUAUUUUGCUCCUUUGCACCCCAUUAUUUAUAUUUCUACUUUGCACUUUCUUCCACUGCAAAUCUACCAUUCCAGUGUUUUACUUGCUAUAUUGUAUGUACUUCCACCAUGGCCUUUUUUUGCCUUUAUCUCACCUCAUUUGCUCACAUUGUAUAUAGACUUAUUUUUCUACUGUAUUAUUGACUGUAUGUUUGUUUUACUCCAUGUGUAACUCUGUGUUGUUGUAUGUGUCAAACUGCUUUGCUUUAUCUUGGCCAGGUCGCAAUUGUAAAUGAGAACUUGUUCUCAACUUGCCUACCUGGUUAAAUAAAGGUGAAAUAAAAUAAAUAAAAAAAUGCAAUCCCACUGGGCAAAAACUGGGUCAAUCAACAUAGAUGUUUUUGUUGAAAUGACGUGGAAACAAUGUGAUGACGUUGAAUCUACGUGGGAAAAUGAUCGUAUUUGCAAAAUGUAUUCAACUUACAGGAUUCUUUGUGCCUAGUGUAAUCCUACUAUAGCACAGCAGUCUCAUAUUGGCAACACUGGCUCUGGUGUGAUGGAUAUGAGGGUCUAUAAUAACAUUUAAAUAACCAGACAAUACAAGAUACCAAACCACAGCUCACUAUAUACAAAUACACAACAAGCUCUACAAAAUUAAAUUAAAUUUCUCUUCUAAAUCUCUCAUACUAUCAACACCAAAGUGAGUUAUUGAACAGUUCCAUAUCAGAAUGAAUCCAUCAUUUUACUCCUUUGUCCAAGACAGUUUAGUAGACGGUGUCUUUUCAGAUAGUAAAGGCCUCUGAAAGUAUUUUUACAAACAUAGCAGGUAUGAUGUUUCUGCUUGGAGUGGCUCUGGAUGAGCUUUAGUAGGGCAGAUGCUUCAGACCAGCUCAGUUUCCACUUGGAGCUCUCAGAAACAUGGCUCUCUUGCUUGGGUGUGUUAUUGUGGCGGCAGGUGUUGAGGUACUCCAACCACUUGUUUCUAUGAUUUCGCUCAUGCUUCUUGAGGUGUUCUGCCAUGUGGAAUACUUUGUAACACAUUGAGCAUGAGAAGGGCCUUUCAGUAGAAUGUGUGUACUUGUGGUGCUUCAGAUGAUCCGCCCGGCUGAAGCUUAGGCCACACUCCUCACAUUGGAACACAUUGCCAGCCUUUGUGUGAGUGUGAUAUCUAUGUCUCCGGAGAGAGUUACGGUCCUUGAACGUUGUCCCACAAGCCUUACAAAGAUAACUUCUCAACAUUGUGUGCAUUUUACCGAGGUGGGUCUUUAAGUCCUCCUGCCGCCCUAAUGUAUCUCCAUAACAAUGACUAAGGUGAGGUUUCUCAUUGGUGUGCAGGUUCUCAUGCCGUCUCAAAUGCUCUCGCCUCUUGAACUUUGUACCGCAAUAUGAACAAACAUGGGGAGUUUUGUCCAAAUGGAUCAUUCUGUGUUUUCCCAGCUUUUCCCCAGUACUAAAUUUCUUGCCACACUGGUUGCAUGUAUAACCGUCUGGUCCUGGAUGAUCAACUUCAUGAUGCAACAUCAGUUCCUUUUGAUGUUCACAUCGCUUCUCACACAGUUGGCAGACGUGGUUUGUCACCUGAUGAGUCUUUUCAUGCGUCUGCAACUCUCCUGGAUCCCUGAAUCCAAUGCCACAAUCAAAACAGAUAAAGGAACUGCCAGAAUGAGAACAGCUGUGGCGCUUUAGGUGAUCCUUUCGGCCAAAGUCAAGGCCACAUUCUUCACAGUGGUGCAGCUUGGAGGCUUUUACGUUGCUCUCCCGAAUUCUCCUAGAGUCUUUGCGACCCUUUAAACAUUUUCCACAAAAAUUUAACGAAACAUGAUAUAUGAAACAGUCCCCACAAUCUUUGCAAAUAAAUUGUCUCGAUACAUCUUCCUCUGUCUCUCCUACAGUGUUUAAGUCUAUUUCAGUUGCCUCCAGAUCCCUUUGUGUCGGCAAGCCUUUCAAGGUGUCUUUAAUGAUACAUGUCCUGACAUUGCCUACUGCUUUUAGGGUUUUGCGGUAUUGGUCCGGGUGCAUUUCCCUGGCAUGAUUCUCAAACUCCAGUCCACUGGCAAGCUUUAGGACACAGAGUUGACAAUAGAAAAUAUCCCCCUGUUGGCUCAUCCUACUUGCCUCUAUGAAAGCCUUUACAUGCUUACGCAGGUGGAAGCACUUAUGCUUUUGGAAAAUAUCUGCCUUUUCAAAAUGACGGUCACAUUCACAGCACGUUAAAGAAAAUGUGUUUUUACGCAAGUCAUUUUCCCAAUGAUACAUUUUCUCAUGUUUGGUGCAAGCUUUAAGCUUGUUGAAUGCUCUACCACAAACUGGACAUCUAAUCUGUUGUUUCACUGCCGCUCCGUGCUCCUGUUUAGGCGGCACUAUUUCACUUUUGCCCUGUGCCCAAGCAUGUCUUUUCUGGUGUUUUUGGUAAGAUUUGAAAAACUUAAAAACCUUCCCACAGUCCAGACAAGGAAACAGAGGAGAACGUUUAGAGUCAGGCGGAAAAGGAGGAGAACGUUUAGAGUCAGGCGGAAAAGGAGGAGAACGUUUAGAGUCAGAAGGAAAAGGAGGAGAACGUUUAGAGUCAGAAGGAAAAGGAGGAGAACGGUUAGAGUCAGAAGGAAAAGGAGGAGAACGGUUAGAGUCAGAAGGAAAAGGAGGAGAAACGGAGAAACGGUUAGAGUCAGAAGGAAAAGGAGGAGAACGGUUAGAGUCAGAAGGAAAAGGAGGAGAACGGUUAGAGUCAGAAGGAAAAGGAGGAGAACGGUUAGAGUCAGAAGGAAAAGGAGGAGAACGGUUAGAGUCAGAAGGAAAAGGAGGAGAACGGUUAGAGUCAGAAGGAAAAGGAGGAGAACGGUUAGAGUCAGAAGGAAAAGGAGGAGAACGGUUAGAGUCAGAAGGAAAAGGAGGAGAACGGUUAGAGUCAGAAGGAAAAGAACGGUUAGAGUCAGAAAGAAAAGGAGGAGAACGGUUAGAGUCAGAAGGAAAAGGAGGAGAACGGUUAGAGUCAGAAGGAAAAGGAGGAGAACGGUUAGAGUCAGAAGGAAAAGGAGGAGAACGGUUAGAGUCAGAAGGAAAAGGAGGAGAACGGUUAGAGUUAGAAGGGAAAGGAGGAGAACAUUUAGAGUCAGGCAUUUGCUGCUCUGCAGUGUUGGGUAGUUCAUCAUCAGAAGAUAUUAGAAUACAUGCAUCCUGAUCCUCAGUAUCGUCGCUGUUCUUCCUGUUUUUCUUGAUGGCCCUUACACAAGUUUCUGUGGCAUCUUUCCUAUUGCCUUCAAGACGUACAAUAAUCUCAGAACUUGAAGGGUUCCUCUGUUUUUUUCUGCUUUUUUUGGUUAUCCUGUGAGUCUUCUCAUGCUUUAUGAAAGAAGUUAGGUAUUUGAACCCCUUACCACAGUGCCUGCAGGUGUGAAGGCCUUUCACUUUCUGAUUGACAUUUAAGCCUACUGUUAUGAUUGACUUUCGAUUUCCUCUCAGUCUUGGUACAAUGUGAGUGGCCUGGUGCUUUGUGAAUGAAGUUAGGUAUUUAAACUCCUUCCCACAAGUCUUGCAGGUGUACAGGGCUUUGAUAUGAGUUUCCUCAUGUUUUCGAAAUGAAGUUAGGUAUUUGAACACCUUCCCACAAGUCAUGCAGGUGUGCAGGGGUGAGACACCUUCUUUUUCCAUUGACUUGGCUUUCGGUCUUGCUCUCUCACUUGCUAUAUCACAUAUUGAAUGAGAGCUUAUGAAGUGCUGCUCCAGCUCUGGUUCGCUAGUGAAGGAGGCUUCGCAGGCAUCACAUGGAAAGAACUGGAGUUCCACAUUCGCAAAACC